This 184-nucleotide unclassified non-coding RNA is filed under the name soil metagenome. Its description in RNAcentral is "partial internal transcribed spacer 1". The record is from RNAcentral.
CCGAGUUCAUGGGCGUUCUAACCGGACCCCAAGCUCCCACCCUUUGUGUACCGUACCUUGUUGCUUUGGCGGGCCUGCGCGCCUUGAAAAGGCGCGCUGCUGGCCCUGCUGGCUUGCGCCCGCCAGAGGCUCAUCAAACUCCCGUUUUUAUCAGUGCCGUCUGAGUACAAACCUAACAAGUUUA